Molecule: microRNA precursor, 95 nt
Filed under: Choloepus hoffmanni (Hoffmann's two-fingered sloth)
Lineage: Eukaryota; Metazoa; Chordata; Mammalia; Pilosa; Megalonychidae
Description: microRNA 16-2 (ENSCHOG00000015516.1)
Rfam family: mir-16 microRNA precursor family (bases 8-88)
About the family: The hairpin precursors (represented here) are predicted based on base pairing and cross-species conservation -- their extents are not known. In this case the mature sequence is excised from the 5' arm of the hairpin.
Source: RNAcentral
CAUACUUGUUCCGCUCUAGCAGCACGUAAAUAUUGGCGUAGUGAAGUAAAUAUUAAACACCAAUAUUAUUGUGCUGCUUUAGUGUGACAGGGAUA